AAUACGUUCCCGGGCCUUGUACACACCGCCCGUCACGCCACGAAAGUCGGCAACACCCGAAGCCGGUGGCCCAACCGUAAGGAGGGAGCCGUCGAAGGUGGGGUCGGUGAUUGGGGUG
This 118-nucleotide ribosomal RNA is filed under the name uncultured bacterium. RNAcentral's name for it is "partial 16S ribosomal RNA". It matches the Rfam family "Bacterial small subunit ribosomal RNA", at positions 1365 to 1482 of the family's 1533-position model. The record is from RNAcentral.